AAGGAAUAUUGGUCAAUGGACGCAAGUCUGAACCAGCCAUGCCGCGUGAAGGAUUAAGGCCCUCUGGGUUGUAAACUUCUUUUAUAGGGGAAGAAAUGUGACGGUUCUCCGUCACUUGACGGUACCCUGGGAAUAAGCACCGGCUAACUCCGUGCCAGCAGCCGCGGUAAUACGGAGGGUGCAAGCGUUAUCCGGAUUCACUGGGUUUAAAGGGUGCGCAGGCGGAUGGGUAAGUCAGGGGUGAAAGUCUGCAGCUUAACUGUAGAAUUGCCUUUGAUACUGCUCAGCUUGAGUGUGGGAGAGGUUGAUGGAAUUCCAGGUGUAGCAGUGAAAUGCGUAGAUAUCUGGAAGAACACCAGUGGCGAAGGCGGUCAACUUGCCCAUAACUGACGCUCAUGCACGAAAGCGUGGGGAGCAAACA
This 421-nucleotide ribosomal RNA is filed under the name uncultured bacterium. Its description in RNAcentral is "bacterial SSU rRNA". It matches the Rfam family "Bacterial small subunit ribosomal RNA", at positions 356 to 774 of the family's 1533-position model. The record is from RNAcentral.